Molecule: ribosomal RNA, 79 nt
Filed under: Acanthosepion pharaonis
Lineage: Eukaryota; Metazoa; Mollusca; Cephalopoda; Sepiida; Sepiidae
Source: RNAcentral
UACGAUCACCAAAGUUAAGCAACGUCGAGCCUGGUUAGUACUUAGAUGAGUGACCGCUUGGGAAUAUCAGGUGCUGUAA